RNAcentral lists this ribosomal RNA (567 nucleotides) under Streptomyces sp. AT12-10. Its description in RNAcentral is "bacterial SSU rRNA". It matches the Rfam family "Bacterial small subunit ribosomal RNA", at positions 340 to 917 of the family's 1533-position model. Lineage: Bacteria; Bacillati; Actinomycetota; Actinomycetes; Kitasatosporales; Streptomycetaceae. The record is from RNAcentral.
UACGGGAGGCAGCAGUGGGGAAUAUUGCACAAUGGGCGAAAGCCUGAUGCAGCGACGCCGCGUGAGGGAUGACGGCCUUCGGGUUGUAAACCUCUUUCAGCAGGGAAGAAGCGAAAGUGACGGUACCUGCAGAAGAAGCGCCGGCUAACUACGUGCCAGCAGCCGCGGUAAUACGUAGGGCGCGAGCGUUGUCCGGAAUUAUUGGGCGUAAAGAGCUCGUAGGCGGCUUGUCACGUCGGUUGUGAAAGCCCGGGGCUUAACCCCGGGUCUGCAGUCGAUACGGGCAGGCUAGAGUUCGGUAGGGGAGAUCGGAAUUCCUGGUGUAGCGGUGAAAUGCGCAGAUAUCAGGAGGAACACCGGUGGCGAAGGCGGAUCUCUGGGCCGAUACUGACGCUGAGGAGCGAAAGCGUGGGGAGCGAACAGGAUUAGAUACCCUGGUAGUCCACGCCGUAAACGGUGGGCACUAGGUGUGGGCGACAUUCCACGUCGUCCGUGCCGCAGCUAACGCAUUAAGUGCCCCGCCUGGGGAGUACGGCCGCAAGGCUAAAACUCAAAGGAAUUGACGGA